Molecule: ribosomal RNA, 425 nt
Filed under: uncultured bacterium
Lineage: Bacteria
Description: partial 16S ribosomal RNA
Rfam family: Bacterial small subunit ribosomal RNA
Source: RNAcentral
GUUAGGAAUAUUGGACAAUGGGCGCAAGCCUGAUCCAGCCAUGCCGCGUGAGUGAUGAAGGCCUUCGGGUAGUAAAGCUCUUUAGCCGAUGAUUAUAAUGAGUGUAGUCGGAAAAUAAGCCCCGGCUAACUUCGUACCAGCAGCCGCGGUAAUACGAAGGGGGCGAGCGUUAUUCGGAAUCACUGGGCGUAAAGCGUGCGUAGGCGGCUUUGCAAGUUGGGAGUGAAAGCCCAGGGCUCAACCCUGGAAUUGCUCUCAAAACUGCAAGGCUCGAGUUCGGGAGAGGAUAGCGGAAUUGUCAGUGUAGCAGUGAAAUGCGUAGAUAUUGACAGGAACACCAGUGGCGUAAGCGGCUAUCUGGACCGAUAUUGACGCUGAGGCACGAAAGCGUGGGGAUCAAACAGGAUUAGAAACCCCGGUAGUCC